This 322-nucleotide ribosomal RNA is filed under the name Streptomyces sp. F56-2. Its description in RNAcentral is "bacterial SSU rRNA". It matches the Rfam family "Bacterial small subunit ribosomal RNA", at positions 27 to 352 of the family's 1533-position model. Lineage: Bacteria; Bacillati; Actinomycetota; Actinomycetes; Kitasatosporales; Streptomycetaceae. The record is from RNAcentral.
GGACGAACGCUGGCGGCGUGCUUAACACAUGCAAGUCGAACGAUGAACCACUUCGGUGGGGAUUAGUGGCGAACGGGUGAGUAACACGUGGGCAAUCUGCCCUUCACUCUGGGACAAGCCCUGGAAACGGGGUCUAAUACCGGAUACGACUACUGAGGGCAUCCUUGNGUGGUGGAAAGCUCCGGCGGUGAAGGAUGAGCCCGCGGCCUAUCAGCUUGUUGGUGAGGUAACGGCUCACCAAGGCGACGACGGGUAGCCGGCCUGAGAGGGCGACCGGCCACACUGGGACUGAGACACGGCCCAGACUCCUACGGGAGGCAGC